RNAcentral lists this ribosomal RNA (253 nucleotides) under uncultured bacterium. Its description in RNAcentral is "partial 16S ribosomal RNA". It matches the Rfam family "Bacterial small subunit ribosomal RNA", at positions 524 to 776 of the family's 1533-position model. The record is from RNAcentral.
UACGUAGGGGGCAAGCGUUGUCCGGAUUUAUUGGGCGUAAAGAGCGUGUAGGCGGCUUUACAGGUCCGUUGUGAAAACUCGAGGCUCAACCUCGAGACGCCGGUGGAAACCGUAAAGCUAGAGUCCGGAAGAGGAGAGUGGAAUUCCUGGUGUAGCGGUGAAAUGCGCAGACAUCAGGAAGAACACCCGUGGCGAAGGCGGCUCUCUGGUACGUGACUGACGCUGAGACGCGAAAGCGUGGGGAGCGAACAGG